This 75-nucleotide transfer RNA is filed under the name Candidatus Portnoybacteria bacterium CG02_land_8_20_14_3_00_45_8. Its description in RNAcentral is "tRNA-Ile". It matches the Rfam family "tRNA". From Rfam's summary of the family: Transfer RNA (tRNA) molecules are approximately 80 nucleotides in length. Their secondary structure includes four short double-helical elements and three loops (D, anti-codon, and T loops). RNAcentral also lists the same sequence under 1 other name. Lineage: Bacteria; Candidatus Portnoyibacteriota. The record is from RNAcentral.
GGGCGCGUAGCUCAACGGCAGAGCACGAAGCUUAUACCUUCGCGGUUCUAGGUUCGAAUCCUAGCGCGCCCACCC